ACGAACGCUGGCGGCAGGCCUAACACAUGCAAGUCGAACGCCCCGCAAGGGGAGUGGCAGACGGGUGAGUAACACGUGGGAACCUUCCCUAUAGUACGGAAUAGCCCAGGGAAACUUGGAGUAAUACCGUAUACGCCCGAAAGGGGAAAGAUUUAUCGCUAUAGGAUGGGCCCGCGUAGGAUUAGCUAGUUGGUGAGGUAAUGGCUCACCAAGGCGACGAUCCUUAGCUGGUUUGAGAGAACGACCAGCCACACUGGGACUGAGACACGGCCCAGACUCCUACGGGAGGCAGCAGUGGGGAAUAUUGGACAAUGGGCGAAAGCCUGAUCCAGCCAUGCCGCGUGAGUGAUGAAGGCCUUAGGGUUGUAAAGCUCUUUUGGCGGGGACGAUAAUGACGGUACCCGCAGAAUAAGUCCCGGCUAACUUCGU
Molecule: ribosomal RNA, 429 nt
Filed under: uncultured bacterium
Lineage: Bacteria
Description: bacterial SSU rRNA
Rfam family: Bacterial small subunit ribosomal RNA
Source: RNAcentral